Molecule: small RNA, 504 nt
Filed under: Pongo abelii (Sumatran orangutan)
Lineage: Eukaryota; Metazoa; Chordata; Mammalia; Primates; Hominidae
Description: processed transcript
Source: RNAcentral
UCUCAGCGUCAGGCUACCAAAGAUGCUGGAACUAUUGCUGGUCUCAAUGUACUUAGAAUUAUUAAUGAGCCAACUGCUGCUGCUAUUGCUUACGGCUUAGACAAAAAGCACCCAGGCCAGUAUUGAGAUCGAUUCUCUCUAUGAAGGAAUCGACUUCUAUACCUCCAUUACCCGUGCCCGAUUUGAAGAAUUGAAUGCUGACCUGUUUCGUGGCACCCUGGACCCAGUAGAGAAAGCCCUUCGAGAUGCCAAAUUGGACAAGUCACAGAUUCAUGAUAUUGUCCUGGUUGGUGGUUCUACUCGUAUCCCCAAGAUUCAGAAGCUUCUCCAAGACUUUUUCAAUGGAAAAGAACUGAAUAAGAGCAUCAACCCUGAUGAAGCUGUUGCUUAUGGUGCAGCUGUCCAGGCAGCCAUCUUGUCUGGAGACAAGUCUGAGAAUGUUCAAGAUUUGCUGCUCUUGGAUGUCACUCCUCUUUCCCUUGGUAUUGAAACUGCUGGUGGAGU